This is a non-coding RNA of Lamprotornis superbus, 75 nucleotides long. The record is from the annotation of a GenBank genome assembly. Lineage: Eukaryota; Metazoa; Chordata; Aves; Passeriformes; Sturnidae.
GCCUGAGAUUAGCUCAGCUGGUUAGAGCAUGGUGCUAAUAAUGCCAAGGUCCUGGGGUUCAUCCCCAUACAGGCC